This 26-nucleotide non-coding RNA is filed under the name Cricetulus griseus (Chinese hamster). Lineage: Eukaryota; Metazoa; Chordata; Mammalia; Rodentia; Cricetidae. The record is from RNAcentral.
AAAAUUAAAGAUGAAAUGUAAGUAGA